This 492-nucleotide unclassified non-coding RNA is filed under the name Hevea brasiliensis (rubber tree). The record is from RNAcentral. Lineage: Eukaryota; Viridiplantae; Streptophyta; Magnoliopsida; Malpighiales; Euphorbiaceae.
GGUUUGGCUGGUGUCUUGUGUGGAUCUGCAACUUGUUGCCGUUAGUGGUCAUGGUUCUAGGAGGGUUAUAUGCAUUGUUAGUGUUGGAUAUCUAAUGGAUAUUUGAGGUAGUCUCAUUUCGAUGGCUGUUGUCCCUCCCUGUAGGCUAUAAGAGAUGAGUUCUGCCCACUCCCCCUCUAAUGGCUGCUAGUGACUGAAGUGUUGCUAUAACUCUCGAGGUUCAGCAGAUGGCUGGGAUUGAUGUUAAAGUAGUGGUUUCUAGCUAGUGGGGGUGUUUUCUUGUUUGCUAUGGACCUCUACCCUUUCAUCUCUUCUAGCCAUCAUUUUCAGCUCCAGCAGAUAGAAAAACCCACAGUGCUAGCAGGGUGCAUGGAGAUGAGUUCUUUCAGUUCUCUACAGUUAGGGCUUCUGAGUUUGGGAUUCUUGGUUUGUGCUAGGUUUAGCUUCACUGCCUUUUACUUGUUUACUAGAACUCUUGUAACUCUGCUUUCU